Molecule: long non-coding RNA, 273 nt
Organism: Osmerus eperlanus (European smelt)
Lineage: Eukaryota; Metazoa; Chordata; Actinopteri; Osmeriformes; Osmeridae
Exons: 3
Source: RefSeq, a predicted model, not a curated record
GCCCAAACACAGGCUGAACUCCAAGACGCCUUAAGCGAGGAGCGCCUUAAGGUGCUGGAGUUGCGAAAGAGAGUGACGCUGUGAUGAAGUGGAAGACGGGACUGGGAGAGAAAGCUGUGGAGCUCCUCAUAGAGGAGACACUCAAACACACCCCGGCAGCCCAUUCAAAACAAGCCAGGGCCAACAGACAGGACCUGUAGCGGGGACUGGCAGAAGAUUUUAAUUCACUGUUUGGCACUUUGUUUGAAAUAAAAUGACAAUGUUACAUGGAAA